Molecule: unclassified non-coding RNA, 254 nt
Filed under: Hevea brasiliensis (rubber tree)
Lineage: Eukaryota; Viridiplantae; Streptophyta; Magnoliopsida; Malpighiales; Euphorbiaceae
Source: RNAcentral
GAGUUGUAUAUGCUGCUGCCCGUAGAUUUCAAGUGCCCCUCCCUGAGAAUCCUCCUUGGUGGAAAGCAUUUGAUGCAGACAAGGCUGGUAUAGAUGAAGUUUGCAGAGUUCUUGCUCAUCUUUACAGUCUUCCAAAAGCAAAAUACAUUCCUGUGUGCAAGGAAGGAGGUUCCUUUGCUACAUCAAACAGAUCAAGAGACUCGCCGUCGCUUCCUGUAUCUAAGGAAGGUUUGUUGGAUGCUCCACCAGUGAAU